This 273-nucleotide unclassified non-coding RNA is filed under the name Hevea brasiliensis (rubber tree). Lineage: Eukaryota; Viridiplantae; Streptophyta; Magnoliopsida; Malpighiales; Euphorbiaceae. The record is from RNAcentral.
AUACAAAUUUUGUGUGCAAUAAAUACAUUUUACAUGCUUUAUUUUUACUUUCUUGUAGCAUAACACUUUUUGAGUGCAUAUAAAAAAUUUUAUUCAAAGUUUCUUUUGGCAACCAAAAGAGCAACUAAAGAUACAUUAUAAAGAUGCAGGUGGGAGAGACACAAAUCCAAGCAAAUAGAAUGAAAUGAUUCAGGACUAAAUUAUAAAAGUCUUAUGGAUGGUAUUUCAAAUGCUAGCAUCAAUAAAGACAUAUAAAUAACUGAAACCAACAAA